Molecule: ribosomal RNA, 1419 nt
Filed under: uncultured bacterium
Lineage: Bacteria
Description: bacterial SSU rRNA
Rfam family: Bacterial small subunit ribosomal RNA
Source: RNAcentral
AGUUUGAUCCUGGCUCAGGACGAACGCUGGCGGCGUGCCUAAUACAUGCAAGUCGAACGAAGCUUUCUUUCACCGAAUGCUUGCAUUCACCGAAAGAAGCUUAGUGGCGAACGGGUGAGUAACACGUAGGCAACCUGCCCAAAAGAGGGGGAUAACACUUGGAAACAGGUGCUAAUACCGCAUAACCAUGAACACCGCAUGAUGUUCAUGUAAAAGACGGCUUUUGCUGUCACUUUUGGAUGGGCCUGCGGCGUAUUAACUUGUUGGUGGGGUAACGGCCUACCAAGGUGAUGAUACGUAGCCGAACUGAGAGGUUGAUCGGCCACAUUGGGACUGAGACACGGCCCAAACUCCUACGGGAGGCAGCAGUAGGGAAUCUUCCACAAUGGACGAAAGUCUGAUGGAGCAACGCCGCGUGAAUGAAGAAGGCCUUCGGGUCGUAAAAUUCUGUUGUCAGAGAAGAACGUGCGUGAGAGUAACUGUUCACAUAUUGACGGUAUCUGACCAGAAAGCCACGGCUAACUACGUGCCAGCAGCCGCGGUAAUACGUAGGUGGCGAGCGUUGUCCGGAUUUAUUGGGCGUAAAGGGAACGCAGGCGGUCUUUUAAGUCUGAUGUGAAAGCCUUCGGCUUAACCGAAGUAGUGCAUUGGAAACUGGAAGACUUGAGUGCAGAAGAGGAGAGUGGAACUCCAUGUGUAGCGGUGAAAUGCGUAGAUAUAUGGAAGAACACCAGUGGCGAAAGCGGCUCUCUGGUCUGUAACUGACGCUGAGGUUCGAAAGCGUGGGUAGCAAACAGGAUUAGAUACCCUGGUAGUCCACGCCGUAAACGAUGAGUGCUAAGUGUUGGAGGGUUUCCGCCCUUCAGUGCUGCAGCUAACGCAUUAGGCACUCCGCCUGGGGAGUACGGUCGCAAGACUGAAACUCAAAGGAAUUGACGGGGGCCCGCACAAGCGGUGGAGCAUGUGGUUUAAUUCGAAGCAACGCGAAGAACCUUACCAGGUCUUGACAUCUUCUGACAAUUCCAGAGAUGGAACGUUCCCUUCGGGGACAGAAUGACAGGUGGUGCAUGGUUGUCGUCAGCUCGUGUCGUGAGAUGUUGGGUUAAGUCCCGCAACGAGCGCAACCCUUAUUGUCAGUUGCCAUCAUUAAGUUGGGCACUCUGACGAGACUGCCGGUGACAAACCGGAGGAAGGUGGGGAUGACGUCAAAUCAUCAUGCCCCUUAUGACCUGGGCUACACACGUGCUACAAUGGACGGUACAACGAGUCGCUAACUCGCGAGGGCAAGCUAAUCUCUUAAAGCCGUUCUCAGUUCGGAUUGCAGGCUGCAACUCGCCUGCAUGAAGUCGGAAUCGCUAGUAAUCGCGAAUCAGCAUGUCGCGGUGAAUACGUUCCCGGGCCUUGCACACACCGCCCGUC